CCCUUAGAUGUUCUGGGCCGCACGCGUGCUACACUGAUGCAUUCAACGAGUCUAAAACCUGGUCUGAUAGGGCUGGGUAAUCUUUUGAAAGUGCAUCGUGAUUGGGAUAGAUGAUUGCAAUUCUUCAUCUUCAACGAGGAAUGCCUAGUAAACGCAAGUCAUCAGCUUGCAUUGAUUACGUCCCUGCCCUUUGUACACACCGCCCGUCGCUCCUACCGAUUGAAUGAUCCGAUGAAUACCAUGGAUUGAGAGUACGAAUAGGUUCGCUUAUUUCUGCUACUCGAGAAGUGGAGUAAAUCUUAUCAUUUAGAGGAAGGAGAAGUCGUAACA
This 330-nucleotide ribosomal RNA is filed under the name uncultured eukaryote. Its description in RNAcentral is "partial 18S ribosomal RNA". It matches the Rfam family "Eukaryotic small subunit ribosomal RNA", at positions 1470 to 1796 of the family's 1831-position model. The record is from RNAcentral.